RNAcentral lists this ribosomal RNA (421 nucleotides) under uncultured bacterium. RNAcentral describes it as "bacterial SSU rRNA". It matches the Rfam family "Bacterial small subunit ribosomal RNA", at positions 357 to 770 of the family's 1533-position model. The record is from RNAcentral.
GGGAAUCUUCGGCAAUGGGCGAAAGCCUGACCGAGCAACGCCGCGUGAAUGAAGAAGGCCUUCGGGUUGUAAAAUUCUGUUAUAAGGGAAGAAAGGUGAUAGGAGGAAAUGACUAUCAAUUGACGGUACCUUAUGAGAAAGCCACGGCUAACUACGUGCCAGCAGCCGCGGUAAUACGUAGGUGGCAAGCGUUAUCCGGAUUUAUUGGGCGUAAAGGGAACGCAGGCGGUCUUUUAAGUCUGAUGUGAAAGCCCACGGCUUAACCGUGGAGGGUCAUUGGAAACUGGGAGACUUGAGUGCAGAAGAGGAGAGUGGAAUUCCAUGUGUAGCGGUGAAAUGCGUAGAUAUAUGGAGGAACACCAGUGGCGAAGGCGGCUCUCUGGUCUGUAACUGACGCUGAGGCUCGAAAGCGUGGGGAGCA